GCGUGUGUGAAGAAGGCCUGCGGGUUGUAAAGCACUUUCAGUAGAGAAGAAAAGCCUAGGGUUAAUAACCCUGAGUCUUGACGUAACCUACAGAAGAAGCACCGGCUAACUCCGUGCCAGCAGCCGCGGUAAUACGGAGGGUGCAAGCGUUAAUCGGAAUUACUGGGCGUAAAGCGCGCGUAGGCGGCUUAGUAAGUCGGAUGUGAAAGCCCAGGGCUUAACCUUGGAAUUGCAUUCGAUACUGCUUGGCUAGAGUAUGGUAGAGGGAAGUGGAAUUUCCGGUGUAGCGGUGAAAUGCGU
RNAcentral lists this ribosomal RNA (300 nucleotides) under uncultured bacterium. RNAcentral's name for it is "bacterial SSU rRNA". It matches the Rfam family "Bacterial small subunit ribosomal RNA", at positions 399 to 691 of the family's 1533-position model. The record is from RNAcentral.